AUGGCCGGCCGCCGCGUCCUCGUCCGAUGCGUGCUGAGUGCAAUGCCAACCUUCGCCCUCAUCGUCCUCCAUGUCCCGAAGAAGAUUCUCAAAGAGAUCGACAAGUGCAGGCGGCGUUUCCUCUGGCGCCAGGACGACGAGAUUUCGGGCGCCAGCUGCAAGGUCAGCUGGCCAGCGGUCUGCGCCCCAACGGAGUAGGGGGGCCUGGGCAUCCCUGACUUGCAGCAUUUCAGCAGAGCGCUGCGGCUGCGCUGGCUCUGGACUACCUGGCACCACCUGGAGCGGCCUUGGGUGGGCACCGAGUUGCCUUGCGACGGCGCGGACAAGGCGCUCUUCGCGGCCUCCACCAGCGUUGCGAUCGGUGACGGGGCUCGGGCCUCAUUCUGGCUCUCUUCUUGGAUUGGUCAGGGCUGCCUCUCGCAAAAAUUCUCAAGGUUGUUCAGCUACUCGCGGCGCAAGAACAGAUCGGUGCGGGAGGCCCUCAGGCAACAACCUCCAUCUUCUGCCGGACGUCCUCGCCCUUCACCGCCUGCUUCAGGGGACGGGCGCGCAGCUGCAGCCAGAAGUGCCAGAUGA
Molecule: ribosomal RNA, 576 nt
Filed under: Triticum aestivum (bread wheat)
Lineage: Eukaryota; Viridiplantae; Streptophyta; Magnoliopsida; Poales; Poaceae
Description: partial small subunit ribosomal RNA
Source: RNAcentral